GAUGAACGCUGGCGGCGUGCCUAAUACAUGCAAGUCGAGCGAACAGAUGAGGAGCUUGCUCCUCUGACGUUAGCGGCGGACGGGUGAGUAACACGUGGAUAACCUACCUCUAAGACUGUGGUCACUUCGGGAAACCUGAGCUAAUAGCGGAUCAUAUAUUGAACCGCAUGGUUCAAUAGUGAAUGACGGUGUUGCUGUCACUUAUAGAUUGAUCCGCGCCGCAUUAGCUAGUUGGUAAGGUAACGGCUUACCAAGGCGACGAUGCGUAGCCGACCUGAGAGGGUGAUCGGCCACACUGGAACUGAGACACGGUCAAGACUCCUACGGGAGGCAGCAGUAGGGAAUCUUCCGCAAUGGGCGAAAGCCUGACGGAGCAACGCCACGUGAGUGAUGAAGGUAUUCGGAUCGUAAAACUCUGUUCUUAGGGAAGAACAAAUGUGUAAGUACCUAUGCACGUAUUGACGGUACCUAAUCAGAAAGCCACGGCUAACUACGUG
RNAcentral lists this ribosomal RNA (497 nucleotides) under uncultured bacterium. Its description in RNAcentral is "partial 16S ribosomal RNA". It matches the Rfam family "Bacterial small subunit ribosomal RNA", at positions 28 to 507 of the family's 1533-position model. The record is from RNAcentral.